UAUAUUUACCGCUUUUAUAUAUUUAUAUUUCCGAUCCCCCAUGGAGUUGCUUCGUGGUGGUUGAUCACGUCUGUAUAUAUAUAUAUAUUUACAACUUUUAUAUAUAUAACUGCUUACUGCUUUCCAUACAAAUUGCAGUAUCAUGUGAGCCUAGGAAUUAUGUGAUCACAGAUUCAGUCUAUUGAAUCUAGAUUCGGUUCCCAUGAUGGACAUUUUUUAGCUGUAAGCAACUUUUACAUUAUUUUUACAGUGUCUGAAUUUCCUUGGAUGGUUGUCAUGCCCAUGAGGAGUUCGACACUGCUGUAUAUUAUUUUCUCGAGAAUGCUUCGCAUCUCAAAAAUAAAAGCAAACAAGCCGAACAUUUAAUAAUAAAAUGGAAGCAUCAAAGGCCUCAAUUACUAUUGAGCACAAGGUUUGAAAAACCACUUUUACAAAACGACAUUGCUAUAUCUUGUUUAAAACUGAAUUUUUCUAUAAAUUCAAACCCUAUGUAUAUAGGUACGAAUGAGGUACUGCACUACUUCCAAAUAAUUGGACAUUGAUCCACACACACACACAUUCAUAUAACAGUUUCUUUGAAAAGUGGUGGUCACCGUGGUAACACGGAUGUCGGGGGGUGCCUAACACCUUCCCUCUGCAUAAUCAAGCCUCUGGACCCAAAAUGAAUCUCGGUUUCACAGACCCGUCUAGCAGUGUCAAAUCACCGGGUCAAUGUGAAAACCUUUUCGGUUGCAUUGGUGAAACAAGUUAAAUACACCAACUGGCGACUCUUAAAGUCAAAUCGUCGACAUUAUACAUGUCAGACCUUUUUCACUUGUUUUUUCAAACAAAUCUCACAUUAACAUGAGAACACCAAAGAACAAGUAACAUAAAGGGACACUCAAAAAUCCCGACGUCGACAGGUACCAUAUGUGUGUAUACUUGAAUCGUGCCAAGCUUGAUUAAAGACUGUGUUAGCUAAUUAACAUCUUGAUCAUAUAAUGUGUUAUAAAUAGGAUUUGAAAGUGUUGAUUUAUUAACGUGGAUAGACUACACUUGAGGCAAGUAUCUGAACCCUACUAUUAUUGUUGUGCAAUACCAUUGCAUUAUUUAUUCGAACAUUACCGUAAGCUUAUCCCUUUGAAUACAAGUUAUAUUACUUUCUCAUUCAAAUGAGUUAGUAUGUUAAACCCUUGUGAAGGUUAUUAUUCAUGUUGAAAUUGGUAUUGCCCUUGAAUAUUGUGAAAGAGUCGAUGCCAUUUGAUUCGGCUAGACUAUAUGCAUGUUUAUAAAAACUGUCCAAACUAGUUGAUUGGUGCGAAAAUCUUGAAAACUGAGUUGGACAACCCUUUUGGUAAGGGGAGUGUAUGUUGUUGGAAACCCCACCACAUGAAUAAAUAUUAUUGUGGUGUUAUGCAUAACGUAAAGUAUUGUAGACUGAUCAUCUAUAGUACUUGAUAUUUUCGGUUAUCAGUUUAAUAUUGGUAACUCUUGUGGAAGUUCCAUAGUCCUUAGUGACUGCUUAGUAUAAAUUGCUUAUCCAG
This 1523-nucleotide long non-coding RNA is filed under the name Panax ginseng (ginseng). RNAcentral's name for it is "long non-coding RNA (PGIN_LNC014762)". Lineage: Eukaryota; Viridiplantae; Streptophyta; Magnoliopsida; Apiales; Araliaceae. The record is from RNAcentral.